This 732-nucleotide ribosomal RNA is filed under the name Piper semi-immersum. RNAcentral's name for it is "eukaryotic LSU rRNA". The stretch from base 266 to 422 matches the Rfam family "5.8S ribosomal RNA". The record is from RNAcentral. Lineage: Eukaryota; Viridiplantae; Streptophyta; Magnoliopsida; Piperales; Piperaceae.
CCUUUCUCCUUCAAUACGCGUUAUGCAGUAGUGACCUGCGGAGGAUCAUUGUCGAUGCCCAUCGGAACAAGACAGACGGAAGCGAACUCGUGAACCCUCGUGUUCCCGGCCCGCACGUCCGGGCGGCGCCCUGCGCGUGUCGGGCAACGACGAACCAAAUCUCGGCGCGGGACGCGCCAAGCAACUCGGGUAGCUUUGAUUGCGGCGUCCUCUUCCCUACCGGGCCGGAGGGCGCACGCGUCGAACAUUUACAACAAGUCAUUACGACUCUCGGCAACGGACUAUCUCGGCUCUCGCAUUGAUGAAGAACGUAGCGAAAUGCGAAAAAAGGUGUGAAUUGCAGAAUCCCGUGAACCAUCGAGUCUUUGAACGCAAGUUGCGCCCGAGGCCUUCCGGUUGAGGGCACAUCUGCUUGGGCGUCAAACAACUCGUCUCCCGCCGCCCUCUCCCUCCAGACUCCGAUCGAGGAGUCUGCCCGAGGCGAGGGCAGGUCGGGGCGGAGUCUGGUCGUCCGUGUGCCCGCAGAGCGCACGCGGUUGGCUGAAAAGCCCGGGCCACGGGCCGAGUGCGGCUCAACGGGUGGUGGUUGUGCGCCCUCUCCUUCAAGCGGGGCCGCGAUUGUCAGCCGCUGCGCCGUUCGCUUCUCGAUUGCCCGGCAAGUCCCUCCAUCGAAACGUCCAAUCGGCGGCUGCGAUUCGAAUGCGACCCCUAGCCAUGUUAACAUAUCUAUCC